This 380-nucleotide long non-coding RNA is filed under the name Rosa chinensis. RNAcentral's name for it is "sRNA RchiOBHm_Chr1g0373151". The record is from RNAcentral. Lineage: Eukaryota; Viridiplantae; Streptophyta; Magnoliopsida; Rosales; Rosaceae.
CGGAGGUGGUUGACCCGGCGUUGACCGCCGCUGUUGACCACCGGUUUGACCGCCGCUUGUGGCGGUGCGUGGCGGCGCGUCCAGCCGUAUUUUUGUGUUCUGUUUUCAGUUUAUUCAUCUAUGCAUCCAUACGAGCGUUUUGAUAUAUUAUAAGGUUAUUUUAGAAAAAGUUGAUAAAUAGUGGAUUUACGUUUUUACGUUUAUCUUCGGUUUUCGAUCUGUGAAGAUCAGACCAUCGGUUUUACUUCAAAUUUUAAUAUGUUGAUCGUAUGACUGUCCCGGUGACUUUGUGAGGUCACGGGCUAAGAUCCGACCGUUGGAUCUUCGUAUAAUUGUGAUUUAGUGAUUCGGAAGGCGAUUCGUGAGAAUCCGACCGUCGG